UGGGAAAUGAAGCUUUUUCUUUUAUCCUUAGAGCCGCUUCUAGUGCCAGAAACUGCACCAUCUGCUGGUGAGAUGAACAAAGGAAUCCAAGAGAGGAAAAGUGAAGGUUAUCAGGAUGGGUGGACAUAGCAGUGAGCACCAGGAGCUGACUGCACAGAGCUGCAGGGCUGAGCAGUAGUGGCAGAGGCACAGAAGAAGCACCAGGUGGAGCUCAGCCGCUCUUUUUACCUUGGAAACCUUCCUAUAAAUCUCAGCCUCCCUAUGUAAGACCAUACAUUUUACCAAACACCAUGUUGUGGGAACGUCCUUUGAAUUUAAUGCCAAACAACGUUAUGCUGUGUGUGGUGCUGUUGUGCCCAUGCUGGUAGACACAAGGCCGUGUCCAGGCACCCCAAGUGUGGGGACAAGGCCUGUGUCCCUCACUGACAGCCUGGUCACUCCACCAACCAGGCCAUGUUCCCAAGGCUGAUCUUGCUUCCACCCAGCUCUGCCAACCCUGGGCUCAGCCUGGCUGCCAGGCACUCAACACAUUCCCUCAUACUGAGCC
This 547-nucleotide long non-coding RNA is filed under the name Coturnix japonica (Japanese quail). RNAcentral describes it as "lncRNA (ENSCJPG00005003941.1)". Lineage: Eukaryota; Metazoa; Chordata; Aves; Galliformes; Phasianidae. The record is from RNAcentral.